RNAcentral lists this small RNA (29 nucleotides) under Bombyx mori (domestic silkworm). RNAcentral's name for it is "ovarian small RNA-26745". The record is from RNAcentral. Lineage: Eukaryota; Metazoa; Arthropoda; Insecta; Lepidoptera; Bombycidae.
UCCAGAAGCCUCUGCAUCCUCAUUAUGGC